GUUGUCACAGAGCUCUAAGCUAACACUGAUAGUAAGUGAAGACUUGUUCCAUCUGACCUUCUGAUUUGGCCCGCAGUCCCCUGUAGGAAUACUCACUUUCUAUUAAAAGAACCAGAACCCUGUGCGUCAGACAAACCGAGGAACCCGAGUGAGGAAGGAAGCAUAGACCUUUCCAGCAAGAUUUUGAAUGGAGCUUUGAGAUGAAGAAAACGGACAAACAUGAAAUACUUAUGAAGACAGAGGUUGUCACCGCUACAAAAGGGAGAAGUGUUUGACAGGGCAGGCAGGCGUCGGGAUCGGAGGCUCCGAGUCGGUUCUGCACAGUGCCAGGAGGGCAGGGGAACUCUCGUCCUAGAGACAUCCCCGGAGGACAGUAGUAUCCAGCGGGACAUAAGGAAGGCUGUAUAGUACCUUUAACUGAGCCACAACAAGAAUAAACACAUAUCAUAUUGAAAGCGAACAAUUAAAUGAGAAACCAUUGGGCCCAGUGCCGUAAAAUGAAUUACAAUCAAUAAAUGUAAGUUAUUGAAAAUUGAAUGUGAAGAAAAAGUCUCUCUUAGAAAUUGUUUCCUACCUUGACAGUAGUACCCAGGUGUGCAUGUAGUGCAAUUGUCUUGAUGUAUGUUUCCUGUUUCAGAGCUAAAUGUUCCUGCAGAACAAGGGAUUGGGACCAGUGUCCCUCUGGGGCAAAAGAAACCAGCAGGGCACAGAGCCGUAUCUGCUCUGCUGGAGCCCCAGUCGCAAUAAAACCCUGCCCAGCAAUCCCCUAAAGCCGGAAAAGGGGAAACCACACACUAUAUUGAAAGAUGUUAUCUUUAAAAUCCAUGAAUUCAAAAUAAACUGCAGGGGGAAUGAAAAAAACCCAACAUUCGCUUUGGGUGUGUUUUAAUCUACCUGCUGUUUGCCCCCGUUGGCAGAAUUUCCCGGGUGGACAGAGAGAUCCAGUUCUGUUGUCAGUCGGGUUGGGCACUGUGGCGCCCAUCAAACACAGAAACCCAGCAGCACACGGCCCCGAAGGCUGAACCAACCCGUCAGACCCACAAAACUGACCCGCUGGACACACAAAGCACUCACCUGUCAACACACAUCGACAGCUUUGACUUUAGUCCAAACAGAACAACAAGCUACCUGCCAGAUGCAUCAGUCGCGUCUCUCACAUGGUUGCCAGCUGCUAAGGUUUUCAAUGUGGAGGUUGAGGCCUUUUACCUGUGGAGGUGAGACCGUGGCGGGGGCUGUAGGUGCCUUUGGGGCAGGGAAAAGGGUGACUGUCUGGAUUCUCCCUGGGACAUAUGUAGCCGGCCGGGCAGGGCAGAGGGCUGGAGACUCCAGUAGGGCCUCCCAUGGUGGGGCUGCUACUCGGGUACUGGCAGUGGAACCCAGCAGGGCAGGGAUCACACUCUGUUUGGCCCGAUAAAUCCUGGAACCAGCCUGGUUCAAAGACAUUCAAACAUCUCAUUCCGGUAAGAGCCAGCCGGACAGGGUGUGGGAACGCUGCUGCCCUCUGCGCAGUAGUGGCCCGCGGGACAAACACUUCCAGAUUCACUUGACAUUGGGGCAGCAGUCUGGGAUCCCUCUAGACAGUAAAAACCUGAGAGAAAAGCCUUCAAUGAAACGUUGUGAUACCACACCUUUGAUACUGAUGUGGUUAUGCGUCAGACAAACACAAGUUGUCGUUGUUAUUUGUGACCUGGCAGGCAGGGCCCAGAGACUACCGAGAGGCCGAUCUCUGAACAGUAGAAGCCUGGAAUGCAGCUACGACACUGGGACUCCUCCACCAGCCUGCUCUGCUCACUGUGGAAAGAGUCACAUCAACCAUAAACCACUGAAAUAAUAAGGGGAUUUUCUGUCACCUGGAUAACAAUUGCUCAUUAUUACAUCACAGAAGUCACUCCUUCUCACUACCGCAAUCUGCCUUUUCAUCACACUUUUAUAUUUUCUACUGGCAAAGCAAAAGGUUAAACAAGGAAAAUCAUCCAUCUCUCUGGAUUCAAUUUUACCUUCAAACUUUAAUCCAUUACCACUACAAACAAUGUUUAGUCACCAUGUAAUGUGUUGCUGUAGUUUGGAAUUAAAAUUCAAAAUGUGUCUCAUGAAUAACUCGGUUCACGGUAAUUAGAGAUAUGGAUAUUAGCACGUUUGUAGAGAUAUUGCAGGGUGUGCACCUGAAUGUUCCUUUCGGGCAUGCUUUUGGAGAAGAAGUCCCCACGGAGCAGAAGAAGCCGGGAGGGCAUGGGAAGCCAGUCACAUUAUCGAGUGGUGAAGAUUCAGAGGCUCCGCCAACACAAACAAACCCUGCAGCACACGGCCCGCU
Long non-coding RNA from Gasterosteus aculeatus aculeatus (three-spined stickleback), 2311 nucleotides. The record is from Ensembl. Lineage: Eukaryota; Metazoa; Chordata; Actinopteri; Perciformes; Gasterosteidae.